This 419-nucleotide ribosomal RNA is filed under the name Pseudoalteromonas sp. UST050418-352. Its description in RNAcentral is "bacterial SSU rRNA". It matches the Rfam family "Bacterial small subunit ribosomal RNA", at positions 577 to 998 of the family's 1533-position model. The record is from RNAcentral. Lineage: Bacteria; Pseudomonadati; Pseudomonadota; Gammaproteobacteria; Alteromonadales; Pseudoalteromonadaceae.
GGUUUGUUAAGCGAGAUGUGAAAGCCCCGGGCUCAACCUGGGAACUGCAUUUCGAACUGGCAAACUAGAGUGUGAUAGAGGGUGGUAGAAUUUCAGGUGUACGGUGAAAUGCGUAAGAUCUGAAGGAAUACCGAUGGCGAAGGCAGCCACCUGGGUCAACACUGACGCUCAUGUACGAAAGCGUGGGGAGCAAACGGGAUUAGAUACCCCGGUAGUCCACGCCGUAAACGAUGUCUACUAGAAGCUCGGAACCUCGGUUCUGUUUUUCAAAGCUAACGCAUUAAGUAGACCGCCUGGGGAGUACGGCCGCAAGGUUAAAACUCAAAUGAAUUGACGGGGGCCCGCACAAGCGGUGGAGCAUGUGGUUUAAUUCGAUGCAACGCGAAGAACCUUACCUACACUUGACAUACAGAGAACUU